Molecule: ribosomal RNA, 382 nt
Filed under: uncultured eukaryote
Lineage: Eukaryota
Description: SSU rRNA
Rfam family: Eukaryotic small subunit ribosomal RNA
Source: RNAcentral
AGCUCCAAUAGCGUAUAUUAAAGUUGUUGCCGUUAAAAAGCCCGUAGUCGAACUUCGGUCCCUGCUGGACGGUCCGCCUUCUUGGUGUGUACUUUCUCAGUGGGGACUUACCUCCUGGUGAGCUGCGAUGCCCUUUAUUGGGUGUCGUAGGGAACCAGGAAUUUUACUUUGAAAAAAUUAGAGUGUUCAAAGCAGGCCUACGCCCGAAUACAUUAGCAUGGAAUAAUAAAAUAGGACGCGCGUUCCCAUUUUGUUGGUUUCUGAGAUCGCCGUAAUGAUUAAUAGGGAUAGUUGGGGGCAUUUGUAUUCCGUCGUCAGAGGUGAAAUUCUUAGAUUGCCGGAAGACAAACUACUGCGAAAGCAUUUGCCAAGGAUGUUUUCA